RNAcentral lists this ribosomal RNA (426 nucleotides) under uncultured Sphingobacteriales bacterium. RNAcentral's name for it is "bacterial SSU rRNA". It matches the Rfam family "Bacterial small subunit ribosomal RNA", at positions 954 to 1382 of the family's 1533-position model. The record is from RNAcentral. Lineage: Bacteria; Pseudomonadati; Bacteroidota; Sphingobacteriia; Sphingobacteriales.
AUGAUGCGCGAGGACCUUACCUGGGCUUAAAUGUAGAGUGCACUUUUUAGAGAUAGAAAUUCCCUUCGGGGCUUUCUGCAAGGUGCUGCAUGGUUGUCGUCAGCUCGUGCCGUGAGGUGUCGGGUUAAGUCCCAUAACGAGCGCAACCCUUAUCGUUAGUUGCCAUCUGGUAAUGCAGGGGACUCUAGCGAAACUGCCACCGUAAGGUGAGAGGAAGCGGGGAUGACGUCAAAUCAGCACGGCCCUUAUGUCCAGGGCUACACACGUGUUACAAUGGUCGGUACAGAGGGCAGCUACCUGGUGACAGGAUGCUAAUCUCGAAAACCGGUCUCAGUUCGGAUCGAAGUCUGCAACUCGACUUCGUGAAGCUGGAUUCGCUAGUAAUCGCGCAUCAGCUAUGGCGCGGUGAAUACGUUCCCGGGCCUU